This 446-nucleotide ribosomal RNA is filed under the name uncultured bacterium. Its description in RNAcentral is "partial 16S ribosomal RNA". It matches the Rfam family "Bacterial small subunit ribosomal RNA", at positions 338 to 795 of the family's 1533-position model. The record is from RNAcentral.
CCUACGGGUGGCAGCAGUCGAGAAUCAUUCACAAUGGGGGAAACCCUGAUGGUGCGACGCCGCGUGGGGGAAUGAAGGUCUUCGGAUUGUAAACCCCUGUCAUGUGGGAGCAAAUUAAAAAGAUCGUACCACACGAGGAAGAGACGGCUAACUCUGUGCCAGCAGCCGCGGUAAUACAGAGGUCUCAAGCGUUGUUCGGAAUCACUGGGCGUAAAGCGUGCGUAGGCUGUUUCGUAAGUCGUGUGUGAAAGGCGCGGGCUCAACCCGCGGACGGCACAUGAUACUGCGAGACUAGAGUAAUGGAGGGGGAACCGGAAUUCUCGGUGUAGCAGUGAAAUGCGUAGAUAUCGAGAGGAACACUCGUGGCGAAGGCGGGUUCCUGGACAUUAACUGACGCUGAGGCACGAAGGCCAGGGGAGCGAAAGGGAUUAGAUACCUUAGUAGUC